CAACCGAUGAAUCAAAACAAAAACAAAGUGUUGUGAUCUGGUGGUCUUUUUCAUAAUCUUAUCGACCGUAUCUAAUAAUAUAAUAUAAAAUACCUACGCUUUUUGUUAUAUUACACGGUAUAAUAACGCGGUAUAUUACGCUUCGCUUUCGUGUACCUUUGAAGACGACCGGAACUUCAGUAGUUUAUCAACAUCGGUGUUCUAAUAUCUAUAAACGAUCAUAGCAACCGCCGAGUUCAUUGAGUUCAGUUUUACCAGUUUUACAGCAUUGAUAAAAAUGUAAUUACACAAAUGGUUAUAUGUGAUGAAUGUCCGGUUCGAAUGGAAGCAAGAACGAUUUGAUUUUUCAUUCGAAGUUCUCGGAAAGCAGUCAAUUUCAAAGAGGUCAACAGUGGAUAACUGCAAGAGGUUGUACGGAUUGAUUAUCAUGUCCAUACAUCAAAUGAACAGAGCAGAGCAGUGCGCUGCGUUUAGUUUCUAAACUAGUUGUGCCCCUACUGCUUGAUUAAGAUGCCUACUAUACAUGGGUAAUCACUACGCCAGGAUGGAUCCGGAUCAGGCACUACGUUGAGACCCAAAUUAACCUGACGUCAAAGACUCUGGCUAGAGAUAACUCGCAUACUAUGCGUUGCUAAUUUUGGAGUACUUCACAAAACAUGAUGUGUAAUAGAAGGUCCCUUCGUUUAUUAGUUACUCAGUACUGAAGAAAAUGGCAAGAAAUUGAAGGCCCGUCCUCAUGUACUAUUCGACGACUAUAACCUGAAGCGAUAUUGCAGUUAACGAAAAGAAAAACGUAGGAUUGAUUGUUAAAAAUUUGCUGUUUCGACUACCAUGAUGAAGCGAACUGUAGGGGUGAUCGGAACAAUAUGGUCCACCUAAGGAAAACGUCAUGUAAUGCAUAGAAAAAUAGCGAAGACUAACGUUUAAAUGCAAGUGACUUGUACUAUAAAA
Molecule: long non-coding RNA, 951 nt
Filed under: Aedes aegypti (yellow fever mosquito)
Lineage: Eukaryota; Metazoa; Arthropoda; Insecta; Diptera; Culicidae
Description: lncRNA AAEL024875
Source: RNAcentral